GACAGGAUUCCGUACUCUGUUGUUGUUGCUCGAAGGAAGAAAGCUCCCGGUGCGAUUUGUAUCAUCCCGUUUCUUCUAUUUGUUUAUCGGAUCUGUUUAUUUAUUUGUUUAUUUAUCCUGUAACCAUCUCGAGGAUUCUGUCCGUUGCAUCCGCCAGAAUCUUCCAAACCUUAUCGGCUAAAACACACACUGUCCACGGAUCAGAUAUCUAGUAAACCUGCCGGCCACCACGCACACAAAGAGACGUACUGCGCCAGCGGAAAGAAGCAGAUGGAAACGGUGGCAAGGGGAAAAAGGAAAGAAAAUAAAAGAAAGAAGCACACAACACACCAAGAAAAAGAAAAAAAAAAGAAAAAGAAAGAAAAAAACUCCCCCCCAAAGAGCCAUCUCGUUACCAGGCCC
Molecule: small RNA, 402 nt
Filed under: Histoplasma capsulatum var. duboisii H88
Lineage: Eukaryota; Fungi; Ascomycota; Eurotiomycetes; Onygenales; Ajellomycetaceae
Description: Histoplasma capsulatum H88 hypothetical RNA
Source: RNAcentral